CCUGGUGACGACAAUGGCUGGGGUCUUGACUUGCCAAGAUCUGGAAACGGAGAAGGGACUGGAUCUCCAAACUUGGACUGCCUUGGACUGACCCUGGCCUGGAAGGUGUGGGCUCAGGACUCCGAGCUCAAGUCAGUCUGUUCCCCCAACCCCUAACCCACUGCAUCCGGGUGAGGAGUUGGGCCCGAGCGCCACAGCGCAGAUAGGGUUGUUAGGAGCGAAAGACUGGAGACCCAGGGACUGUGGGGCUGGGCUGGUGGGGCCACUGCUACCGACUAAGCAGUACGGGCCGCCUGGAAGACCGAAGGCGGAGUUCGCUGAUGCGGAAGCCAAGGCACAGGGCAAUAAGGAUCCGCGCCAUUUCUUGUGAUGUCACCUGAAGCCUUGGCGGGUAGCUGCCUCUCAUCCAUUCGGAGGACAGGGCUCCAGCCACCGGCAGCUCUGAAAGAGUUUGAAGAAUUUAUUGUUCACAGAUGGUAUUUAAAUGGACUUAUUUCUAAAAGUCACAUUCCUUUAUUACUUAUUUGUUAUUAGAAGUACCCAUUUUCAUAUGUGUUUAAAACUAUUUGUGUCUCAAAUUCUCAGGAGAUUGAUGCAUCCCAG
This 603-nucleotide long non-coding RNA is filed under the name Homo sapiens (human). Its description in RNAcentral is "non-protein coding lnc-HIST1H2AI-1:4". The record is from RNAcentral. Lineage: Eukaryota; Metazoa; Chordata; Mammalia; Primates; Hominidae.